CCGGCGGGUGGCUCCACUGGGCAGGGUUCAAAUCCCAGGGGCACGCUCGCCUCAGGUCGUCUGACUGGCUGCGAGGGUCCGGCCCUGCGAACACAGGCCUCCUCUGUGGGCUGCGAUGGCCGCUUCUCCCGCCUCCGUCCGCUACGUAAGCUCUGGCCCCUGCGUCUUUAGCCCGAGGGGCCGGGGCGUCUCUCCCGCAGCCUGGAGACGGGUGGUCCGUCCGCCGGGCUGGUGCCGGUCGGAAUCCCGGCCCGCCGCGAUGGCCGUACGCCGGCUGCUCGCGGUGCACGCAGUGCUGGCAGGAGCAGGGGCCCGCGGUGUUGAGGUGCUGAAUGAACCGGUGGUGUCCCGCCGCCUGCGAGCCGUCUGUGUACAUGUCCAAAGACGUCCAGAGAUCCGGCCGCCCUGCGAGGUUCCACCGGGAAGGGGUUCUCGUCUCUCGUGGAAGAGUCCCCAGCGCCGGUUCUGAGCUCAUUAGACCAACUAAAGCCUUUUGCUCUCUGCAAUUAAACGCUGCCUGGGAUUCCUCAGCCGGGAGACUGGCGGAGGAGCCUCCCCAUCUUUGUCCUUGGCGCGCUCGUCAUUCUCACUCUAUCGUUGUCACGGUGAAAGUG
Gasterosteus aculeatus aculeatus (three-spined stickleback) is the source of this 614-nucleotide long non-coding RNA. NCBI's taxonomy places the organism in Eukaryota, Metazoa, Chordata, Actinopteri, Perciformes, Gasterosteidae. The record is from Ensembl.